AUCUAGUUGACGACUCCCAAAUAGGACGAAACGCGCGUCCUGGAU
Molecule: non-coding RNA, 45 nt
Filed under: Schistosoma mansoni
Lineage: Eukaryota; Metazoa; Platyhelminthes; Trematoda; Strigeidida; Schistosomatidae
Source: RNAcentral